AGAGCGAACGCUGGCGGCAGGCCUAAUACAUGCAAGUCGAACGGAUCCUUCGGGAUUAGUGGCGGACGGGUGAGUAACGCGUGGGAACGUGCCCUUUGGUUCGGAACAACUCAGGGAAACUUGAGCUAAUACCGAAUGUGCCCUUCGGGGGAAAGAUUUAUCGCCAUUGGAGCGGCCCGCGUCUGAUUAGCUAGUUGGUGGGGUAAAGGCCCACCAAGGCUACGAUCAGUAGCUGGUCUGAGAGGAUGAUCAGCCACACUGGGACUGAGACACGGCCCAGACUCCUACGGGAGGCAGCAGUGGGGAAUAUUGGACAAUGGGCGCAAGCCUGAUCCAGCAAUGCCGCGUGGGUGAAGAAGGUCUUCGGAUUGUAAAGCCCUUUCGGCGGGGACGAGUGAUGACGGUACCCGCAGAAGAAGCCCGGCUAACUUCGUGCCAGCAGCCGC
Molecule: ribosomal RNA, 446 nt
Filed under: uncultured bacterium
Lineage: Bacteria
Description: SSU rRNA
Rfam family: Bacterial small subunit ribosomal RNA
Source: RNAcentral